GCUUCAAUUAAAAGUUAGUGAUUUAUAGGCUCUCCAAAACACAAAGUUUCCAUCGAAUUUCCCCCUUACAGCGCCAAAUAUAAGCUAUGAAAUGUGAGUAAAAGUCUGUGAUUAGCCAUUACAGUAUCUUGAUUCCACUCCGAGAUGGGAAGUCGAAGUGAAAAAGUAUCAUAUGCUUCACAAUCGGUUGAGACUCGUACUCAAACCUUGUUUGAGCGCCAUUUUAUCCAAAACUCAGGCCCAUUUAGUUUGUAUUUUUAUUUUAGUUUUGAAGGUCUGUUUUAAGAAUUCUAAAGACGCAUUUGGUUUGUCAUUUUGAAAACUUAUUUCUCAAAACAGAAAAUUAGAAACCACGAUUUGUUUGAAAUUUUGGAAAAUUAUUUUAUUACAUUUUAUUCCAAAAAAUUUUAUUCAAUUUUACGGAACUUAUUUUCAAGUAUUAAAUACAUGUUAAAAUUGAUGAAUCUUACAAUAAUUUUUC
Molecule: long non-coding RNA, 481 nt
Filed under: Olea europaea (common olive)
Lineage: Eukaryota; Viridiplantae; Streptophyta; Magnoliopsida; Lamiales; Oleaceae
Description: long non-coding RNA (OEUR_LNC004283)
Source: RNAcentral